GGUUAAGUGAAUAAGGGCGCACGGUGGAUGCCUUGGCACUAGGAGCCGAUGAAGGACGGGACUAACACCGAUAUGCUUUGGGGAGCUGUAAGUAAGCUAUGAUCCAGAGAUUUCCGAAUGGGGGAACCCAAUAUCUUUUAUAGGAUAUUACUUUUCAGUGAAUACAUAGCUGAUUAGAGGUAGACGCAGAGAACUGAAACAUCUUAGUACCUGCAGGAAGAGAAAGAAAAUUCGAUUCCCUGAGUAGCGGCGAGCGAAACGGGAAGAGCCCAAACCAACAAGCUUGCUUGUUGGGGUUGUAGGACUCCAAUAUGGUAGUCUGUUAGUAUAGUUGAAGGAUUUGGAAAAUUCCGCUAAAGAGGGUGAAAGCCCCGUAAACGAAAUGCUGACAACACCUAGGAGGAUCCUGAGUACGGCGGAACACGAGAAAUUCCGUCGGAAUCCGCGGGGACCAUCCCGCAAGGCUAAAUACUCCCUAGUGACCGAUAGUGAACCAGUACCGUGAGGGAAAGGUGAAAAGCACCCCGGAAGGGGAGUGAAAUAGAUCCUGAAACCGUGUGCCUACAACAAGUCAAAGCUCGUUAAUGAGUGAUGGCGUGCCUUUUGUAGAAUGAACCGGCGAGUUACGAUUGCAUGCGAGGUUAAGUCGAAGAGACGGAGCCGCAGCGAAAGCGAGUCUGAAUAGGGCGAAUGAGUAUGUAGUCGUAGACCCGAAACCAUGUGAUCUACCCAUGUCCAGGUUGAAGGUGCGGUAAAACGCACUGGAGGACCGAACCCACGUACGUUGAAAAGUGCGGGGAUGAGGUGUGGGUAGCGGAGAAAUUCCAAACGAACUUGGAGAUAGCUGGUUCUCUCCGAAAUAGCUUUAGGGCUAGCCUCGGAAUUGAGAAUGAUGGAGGUAGAGCACUGUUUGGACUAGGGGCCCAUCUCGGGUUACCGAAUUCAGAUAAACUCCGAAUGCCAUUCAUUUAUAUCCGGGAGUCAGACUGCGAGUGAUAAGAUCCGUAGUCGAAAGGGAAACAGCCCAGACCACCAGCUAAGGUCCCAAAAUAUAUGUUAAGUGGAAAAGGAUGUGGGGUUGCACAGACAACUAGGAUGUUGGCUUAGAAGCAGCCACCAUUUAAAGAGUGCGUAAUAGCUCACUAGUCGAGUGACCCUGCGCCGAAAAUGUACCGGGGCUAAACAUAUUACCGAAGCUGUGGACUACACCAUUAGGUGUAGUGGUAGGAGAGCGUUCUAAGGGCGUUGAAGGUCGAUCGUGAGGACGGCUGGAGCGCUUAGAAGUGAGAAUGCCGGUAUGAGUAGCGAAAGACAGGUGAGAAUCCUGUCCACCGUAUGACUAAGGUUUCCUGGGGAAGGCUCGUCCGCCCAGGGUUAGUCGGGACCUAAGCCGAGGCCGAUAGGCGUAGGCGAUGGACAACAGGUUGAUAUUCCUGUACCAGUUGUUUUUGUUUGAGCAAUGGAGGGACGCAGUAGGCUAAGGAAUGCAUGCGAUUGGAAGUGCAUGUCCAAGCAAUGAGUCUUGAGUAGAGUUAAAUGCUUUACUCUCUAAGGACAAGUUGUGACGGGGAGCGAAAUAAUAGUAGCGAAGUUCCUGAUGUCACACUGCCAAGAAAAGCUUCUAGUGAGAAAACAACUGCCCGUACCGUAAACCGACACAGGUAGUCGAGGAGAGUAUCCUAAGGUGAGCGAGCGAACUCUCGUUAAGGAACUCGGCAAAAUGACCCCGUAACUUCGGGAGAAGGGGUGCUGACUUCGGUCAGCCGCAGUGAAUAGGCCCAAGCGACUGUUUAUCAAAAACACAGGUCUCUGCAAAAUCGUAAGAUGAAGUAUAGGGGCUGACGCCUGCCCGGUGCUGGAAGGUUAAGAGGAUGGGUUAGCUUCGGCGAAGCUCAGAAUUGAAGCCCCAGUAAACGGCGGCCGUAACUAUAACGGUCCUAAGGUAGCGAAAUUCCUUGUCGGGUAAGUUCCGACCCGCACGAAAGGCGUAACGAUUUGGGCACUGUCUCAACGAGAGACUCGGUGAAAUUUUAGUACCUGUGAAGAUGCAGGUUACCCGCGACAGGACGGAAAGACCCCAUGGAGCUUUACUGUAGUUUGAUAUUGAGUGUUUGUACCACAUGUACAGGAUAGGUAGGAGCCGAUGAGACCGGAACGCUAGUUUCGGAGGAGGCGCUGGUGGGAUACUACCCUUGUGUUAUGAA
Molecule: ribosomal RNA, 2204 nt
Filed under: Enterococcus faecalis
Lineage: Bacteria; Bacillati; Bacillota; Bacilli; Lactobacillales; Enterococcaceae
Description: partial 23S ribosomal RNA
Rfam family: Bacterial large subunit ribosomal RNA
Source: RNAcentral